This is a long non-coding RNA of Zea mays, 262 nucleotides long. RefSeq lists it as uncharacterized. The record is from RefSeq and is a predicted model, not a curated record. Lineage: Eukaryota; Viridiplantae; Streptophyta; Magnoliopsida; Poales; Poaceae. The transcript is spliced from 4 exons.
GAGCUAUUGAAAAGGCACGGCAUGAAGAGGAAAUGACAUUGCUAGCUAGAGAAAGAGCACGUGCCGAGUUUCAAGACUGGGAGAAGAAAGAGGAAGAGUUUCAUUUUGACCAAAGCAAGGUCAGGUCUGAGAUCAGGUUGCGGGAGGGGCGUACAAAGCCUAUUGAUGUUCUCCUUAAGAAUCAUUUGCUCAUCCUUAUCUAAGUGGAUUAACAGUGAAAGAAAUGGAAGAGCUACGUGAUGACAUUAAGAUGCAUCUUGAU